CGGAAAGUGGCGCAGCCUGGUAGCGCAUCUGCAUGGGGUGCAGGGGGUCGGAGGUUCAAAUCCUCUCUUUCCGACCA
RNAcentral lists this transfer RNA (77 nucleotides) under Holosporales bacterium. Its description in RNAcentral is "tRNA-Pro". It matches the Rfam family "tRNA". Rfam says of the family: Transfer RNA (tRNA) molecules are approximately 80 nucleotides in length. Their secondary structure includes four short double-helical elements and three loops (D, anti-codon, and T loops). The record is from RNAcentral. Lineage: Bacteria; Pseudomonadati; Pseudomonadota; Alphaproteobacteria; Holosporales.